This 121-nucleotide ribosomal RNA is filed under the name Leptolyngbya sp. R11-2. RNAcentral describes it as "partial 16S ribosomal RNA". It matches the Rfam family "Bacterial small subunit ribosomal RNA", at positions 1411 to 1529 of the family's 1533-position model. The record is from RNAcentral. Lineage: Bacteria; Bacillati; Cyanobacteriota; Cyanophyceae; Leptolyngbyales; Leptolyngbyaceae.
UUGGGACCGCCCCGAAGUCGUUACUCUACUGCUUGCAGAGGAGGACGCCGAAGGUGGGGCUGAUGACUGGGGUGAAGUCGUAACAAGGUAGCCGUACCGGAAGGUGUGGCUGGAUCACCUC